UACGUAGGAUGCAAGCGUUGUCCGGAUUUAUUGGGAUUAAAGGGUGCGUAGGCGGUUCAUUAAGUUAGUGGUGAAAACUUUCGGCUUAACCGGAUACCCGCCAUUGAUACUGAUAGACUUGAGUGCGACAGAGGGUGUUGGAAUGUGUGGUGUAGCGGUGAAAUGCUUAGAUAUCACGCAGAACACCAAUUGCGAAGGCAGCUGCCUAUGUCGUAAUUGACGCUGAGGCACGAAAGCGUGGGGAGCAAACAGG
This 253-nucleotide ribosomal RNA is filed under the name uncultured bacterium. RNAcentral describes it as "partial 16S ribosomal RNA". It matches the Rfam family "Bacterial small subunit ribosomal RNA", at positions 524 to 776 of the family's 1533-position model. The record is from RNAcentral.